Molecule: RNA transcript, 2238 nt
Organism: Coffea arabica (coffee)
Lineage: Eukaryota; Viridiplantae; Streptophyta; Magnoliopsida; Gentianales; Rubiaceae
Source: RefSeq, a predicted model, not a curated record
CUCUCACGUGCCCGGCAUGUGGAUUGGAAUCAUCAUGUUGUUCGCGCAUCGCGCGUUAGUUUUCCCAUCUGGCCUCGCCUGCCAGUGUCCCAUGUGCCCGUGCUUCCGUCUUUCUGAUCUUCUGCUGCAUUUGCUCUCUUCCCGCUGCAUUCUCUCUCCCAUUACAUUCUCUUUCUUUCUUUUUUUGGUUUUUUUUGGGAUAAUGUUGCUCUAUCACUUAUCCGCAUCCUCUGGAACCUGGUACAAAAUUUUGUUGACCUCCUCCUUUGUUUUGUUGUAAUAGGCUUUCUUCUUCAUCUCCGGUGAGGUCAGAUCUUCUCUUCGGGUUACCUCUGGACGUGCCAUCUUCACUGUUGGUUGCAGAUCUUGUGCUUUCUUCUUUCUCUCCAGUGAGGUCGGGUCUUCUCUUCAGGUUGCUCUGUAUUCAUGUUUUUCUCCUCCUCUGUAAAAACUUGUUUGAUGCUAAUGGUUCUUGUGUUUUGUUGUGCAAGCAUUUUUUUCAUUGCUUUUAGGAGACUGGUUUGUGAUUUCUUUGGUAGCUGGGAUUUGGACUCUGGAAGCCGUUUGUUUGGCUGCCCCUCUUUACUUGUCUUUCCCUCUCCUCCCCAUCAUCAAAUUCCAGCCACAUCUUCUAAUGUAGCUCUCUACUACUUACAGACGGAAUCCGCAGUAGAAGUUUCUGAACUGAAAAAGGAAAGCUAAUCUCAGGGAGAUAGAUAGAAGAGAAGGUACGAUGGCGUCCAAGAUGCAGAGUAUCGCGGUUCUUCAGACCGAGAAUAACCUUGCAACCGGAGCUUUGUGGAAAUUGUGGCUCCUGUUUUCUCGCGGGAUGCUUGGCGAUGUGUUUGGCAUAUGAUUCAGAAUGAUUUGGUGCAUGGUUGGGGAUUGGAUUUUGCACUAAGGAGAUGUGUGGAGCCUGCACAUGAGAAAAUUGAUGUGGUUGACUCUCAGUGGAUAGUUCAUCAAGUUAUUCCUUCUCUGGGAAGUCAGGGUCAAUCUGAAAAUGGAAAAGCUCCUUGGCAAGGGGUAAGAGAGAGGUGCAGAAGUGAGUGGGUGCAGUUUCAAGAUCGCCUAGCCAAUGCAGAUAAGAAAUAUAUUGAACAGUUUGGGAGGACUUUGAAUUAGCUAAUUUCUGGAACGAGGUAUUUGAACAACAGAAAGUUUUGUAUCCUUCUAAGUUUUCUUGCAUUUGGCUCUGAUUGGAAAAGAAAUAUAGAGACAUUGGAGAAAAUAGUGUAACCAGUCUGAGGACAUUGAUCAAUCUUGGUUCUGAAGUGUACAUGCAAGCUGAUGUAAUUCUGAACUGACUGCUCAUGUGGCCAAGCAGUAAAGAGGAAGGAAUCUGCUGUCCUAUGUUAGGCAUUGUCGUUUGAUUAUGAGUGCAGUUUCAUUGGAUGUUUUUUAGUUAAUGUGUAUUAUGUAGUUAUAGUUGUUAGAGGACUCAAGCACAGAAAUUCUGUAAUAGCUAGGUUGUUGCCAUUUCAGUUUGUUGCCAUUCUGUAAUAGCUAGGUAUGUAUUGAUCAUAUAAUUUCUGAAGCAUUCUUGAUGGGAGAAAAAGACUUUGGGGUAAAGAAUCAAGAAAUCAUAUAGAGAACAAAGUUGAAAUUAAUCUUCUCUGGCCUCCAAAGACGAAAAUUCGCUGAGAAGACAAGAGCAACAGCCGUGAUGAAAGGAUUGUUUUACUACCAUUACUUCCUUACAAGGACUAAGGACAAUUCAUGAGAUCAUGAAAUCUCAGAAUCAGUUCUCCAUCGUAUUGUCUCAUCUAUGAAUCCAUUCCUAAAACAUGACUGGACUACAUUCAAUUGCUUCUAUCAAUUUUAUCUAUCAAAGUACAAGUACAAGCUGGAUCUACCAGAAUUUGCGAAUCUAAGGCUAAAUGAAGAUAGUACGACGACUAUAACUCUUACAAAUAGUCAUAAAUAUUAUCAUGUUGGUAUGACCGGCAGAUGUUUUGAUCAAAACUGGAACCGUUUUGUUAUUGAUCAUGAUCUAAAAAAUGGCCAGAUAUUGCUUUUUAUUCCACAAUCCAAGACUCCCUUUGUUGUGCUGGUGUUUGACCGCAAAGGAAUAGAGAAGUUGUUUCUAUGGCAGUUUGCAUUUUCCAUUUGAUGGCACAUCUGAUUUACGUUGAUUCUGCUUCAACGCAAUGCACGGCAUUUGUUGUAUUUAUGUUCUUAAUGGAAAAAAGUUCUGGUUAGAAAAAUGCUUCCAAAGCACUGCAAAUUUAAUGUUUA